UUAUAUUCAAAUCAACCAGAACAAAGAAAAUCACUAUAAAACAUUUCCUCACUCUAUCUACAGUUACAUUAGAACAAUUGGCAGCUACAACAAAAUUUGCUAUGAACUAAAAGAGAUCACUAAAAAAAUGAUGAUUACUUGAUCAAAGGUUUACAGAAACCAAAAAUGAACUGCAUAAAUGUUUUCAUCUAAACAUUUAACUUGUUGGAUCAAACAUAUCUUUUACCUUGUUUUUUGUCCACUGGAUUAGCAUCCUGCUUGUGUUUAAGGGCCUCAUCGCCUCGAAUGAAGUGGAGAACGAUUACGGGGUGAUUUUUGAAUGCGGUGAGAAGUGGAAGAACUUGAUGAACCAGAAGUAUUUUUAGUCCCCUUUGGUUUUUCCUUGAUUGCAUCUAUUUGUUCUAAUGCGUCCACAACUUCUCUCAUUGAGGGUCGGCUUUGAGGAUCUGGUUCGAGGCAUUGUAAGGUAAGUUGUGCUGCUUGUAACAUUGCCUUGGAGGAGUUUUGGCCUUCUAUUCUUACAUCCAUCGUGGCUUUUAACUUUUUCUUAUAUGGGAGAAUUGGCUUCAACCAAUCAACCAAAUUUUGCUGCCCAUUUGGACGCCUCCUAUCGAGUGCCCUUAAGCCUGUCAGCAACUCAAGCAGCACCACUCCGAAGCCAUACACGUCACUCUUAACAUAUAAAUGGCCUGAUUAUUAUUGCAAAAAAAGUAUGUCAGAUAAUUAAACUAUAACAACCUAUUAGAACAGAACUCCAAAUGCUUAAUUUUUUCUGUCUUGUCCGUCAAACUCCAUAAUCAAGCAUAUACUCAAUUCUUGAUUUUACCAAUUAUACAUAUAUAUGUGUGAGUGUAUGUGUGUGUGUCUGUGUAGGGAAACACAAUUUCGCACUUUUAUUUUAUUACCUGUUGCAAUGUAUUCAGGAGCUGCAUAACCAUAAGAACCCAUAACCCUGGUUGUCACAUGUGAGUCUCCACCUGAAGGCCCCAAUUUUGCCAAGCCAAAAUCUGAUAUUUUUGCAUUGUAAUUCUUUGAAAAGACAACAAAAGAAGAAGAAACAACAAUGUCAGUAAAACAUUUGAAUGCUUUCACCUAAAAUGGAAGCUUUCAAACUCUCUGUCCCUUUCUCUUGUUUAGAAUUUGAAGCACAUAAAAAGAAGACAGCACUUGCUUUUUGGAAGUUUACUAAAUUUUUAGUGCUAUCAUCAUAAUGUCGAUACAAUCAAAAGUGUAAAAAUCAGUAUUGAAGUAUCGCAUUGAGACCGACCAUUUGGUAGCAUUAACAAGUUAUGAAAGGAAAUUUAGAAUCACAUCAAUCGAUUUCUAUUCUUUCAAGAAACAGAAAGAGAAAUUUAUAAAUUAGGCCUCAGAUUAAAAAAGAAGCAAAAAGAUAUAAUCGUAUAUAAACUAACCCCAUCAAGCAGAAUAUUUGAGGCCUUGAAAUCUCUGUAAAUGACUGGCUUUUCUGAGGUAUGAAGAAAAGCAAGACCUCGAGCUGUUCCAAUGGCUAUCUUGAGCCGUAAGUCCCAUGACAAGGGUUCAAUGUUAGGAUUCCCUGCAAAAACAAACAAUCCAAUGAUCAACGGAAAUUAUCUAAAAUUUAGCAAAUUCUAGUCUUUCUUUCUUCAAAAAUUUCCCCUCAAUCACUCAUUUUUAUCAAUUCUUACUUCUGAAAAGAUGAUUCUCCAAGCUUCCCUUCUGCAUGAAUUCAUACACAAGGAGUAGCUCUUUAUCCUCCCAACAAUAUCCUAACAAUUUAACCAGGUUAGGAUGUGAUAAUCUUCCUAGAAAGUUCACCUCCGACUGCAUUAUCCAAAAGAGUUCAAAAAAAUGCAGAUUGUUAGCAUCAAUAAGAAGGGCUAUAUUGCAUGGAUUUAAAUUCUCCAAACAUCAAGAACAGCUGCCCCACGAAGCAGAAGCUAAAAGGCUUUGUAUCAAAUCCUCAAUUCUCCUUCCCUAUCCCGUCAAAAUAAUAAUAACAAUAAUAAUAAUAAUACUAAUAAUAAAGACGAAAAAGGAAAAAAAAAAAAAAAAAAAAAAAAAAAAAACCUCAAGCUAGAGCAAUUUAUGCUAUAUCAUAACUUUGAUCAAUUGUGAAUCAACCAAAAGCAUUACAGUUUCCAGCGUUUUUCCUUAAAAGAGUUCUUUCAAAUAUGACCUUAUAAAAAUUGCACAUUCCUUCAAUUGUCACUCCAUUAUUACGGUAUGUUAGGCAAUGAAGGUGAGGAUGACCUUAUGAGCAAGGCAACUUGCAGACAUUACCACAAUUAAUGAAAUUGCAGUAAAUUGAAAACAAAAUGAAGCUGCAGGUGGGACCCAUUAUGGAAAAAUGAUUGAAGCCAACCAUAAACACAAUGCAUAAAACACUUUGCUUCCCCCACCUUUAUUCCCUCUCUUCUUCUUUUAAUUAAUGGUCAAGAGUCAAGACUCAUCAGAAACAAGAAUUUGGAAAAACAGAACAAUCAAUAAAUGGAAAAUAAUUCAUAUUUGGAAGGAAUAUACUAGAAUUGAAAAAUUAGAAUCAAAUACCUGCCACUCGUGAAAACCUUGAUAGCAACCGUUAACCCAGUGCCUGUUUUGGAAGGGGCAUAAGUCUUUUCCGCCAACCCCCCCUUGAAGACUUUACCAAAACCACCUUCACCCAAAACAGAAUCUGAUCUAAAAUUUCUUGUGGCACCCCUCAAAUCAGCAAAGGUGAACUCUUUCAAGUUUGGUGCCUCCAAUAUUUGACCAUUAGAGUUUCCAUCUUCAUUCACUUCACUUACUGCAGCAGAGAAUUGGCUUUUCCCUGCACUGCUACUUGUGGCUGAGAACUCCAUGGUUGUGUUAUUGUUUGAUGACCCUUUCAAACCAAGAGAACAAAAUUCAAUGGAUCAGCUUCAAACCCAAGAAAUAAAAAAGCAAGUGCAAAAAAAAAAAAAAAAAAAAAAAAAAAGAGCAGGAAGAGGUAAAAAACAUACCAGGUGUAGGAGGAUUAGUAGUGCUGGUGAUGAUGGAGCUAGGAUUAACAUCAUGAGAAGAAGAUCCAAAACAAUUGCCCAUGUUGACUUUCAAGAUUCUCUCCUCUUAGAUGCUACCACUAUUACCAAAUAUGCUACUAAGAUCAAGAAAACAAGUUCAUAACAGUAGUAUUUUGUUUUUCAAAACGCUUUGGAAUGCUAAACCAACUAGUCAAGUGGAUCAGGCCCACCUGUUGUCACGAAAAUGCAACCCUAAAAUUGCAGACAAUAAACAGCCUCCAUUUCAGUUUUAUAAAAGAAGAAACAGAGCCUUUCCUCUCUAUCUCUAACUCUGACGCAUAAAUACAAUUACUAUUCGUCGGCGCUGCCGCUGCCGCCGCCGCCUCCUCCAAUUGGUCGGAAACUGAUGUCAUGUCCUCUAGUAAUAACAGCCGUAGCUCCGCCAUCCUCUUCCACUUCUUCCAGCAAACUAUCACUACCGCGAUUAUUCCUACUAUUUCCACCAUUAUCACAAUUACCACUGUUCACUAAAAAGUCACAAUCUUUAUUCUAGUCGAUUCUUAUCUCUUGAAAAUUUUCUUACUCGUUUUCUGGCAUUCGGGUAGAAGAGAAAAAAGAAAAAGAUGGCUGCUUUGAGUGGCUAUGGUGUGUUCUUGAAAGAGUCUGCUCUCCAGCUACCGCGUUCUGUUUCCACCAAUUACUACAAGAGGUCAAAUCUGAUAAUAUUAUAUAUUUUUGUUGUGGCUUAUGUAUGCUUAUUUUGGGGUUUAGGCGAUAAGCUUUUUGCUAGUAACUUUUAUUUCCUGUUCUUAGCUGAUGGUGGUUGCUUUGUUUUCUUUUUUCUCUUUAAUAGGAGGAAUGCGAAAUGGAGUCCCCCUCAAGCUGCUAUAAUUCCCAAUUUCCAUCUUCCAAUGCGUAGUUUUGAAGUUAAAAAUAGGUAAGCUAUCAAUGGUGCACUCUCGUUUGGAGAAAAAGAUUUUCUUUUGGUUCAGUGUUAGAGAUCGGAUUCUUGGAUUCCAUUUUUUAAGGCUAAAAAAAAUACUUUCUGUUUGUGUUUGGCCUGAUAUCUAUGCAGGACAUUGUUUAAUAUUUGUUAGUGAUAGUUCAUCUGAUUUUUUUUCUGGGUUCUUAGCAAAGAGUUUGCUUCAUUUCUAGAUGAAGACGCAAAAAACUUGGGAAAAACUGGGAAAGUUUAUUUCAUAUGGACCAAUAAAACCAGACAUAUUUAAUAUGGUAAAAACAGUGGUAAUCUGACAAAAAAUGGAACUGUCAUUGGAGCAAAUCAAUUCCCGGUGUUUAUUUUCCUGGAGAUUUCUUAUGGUUGUUGAAAUUAGAACUUGAAUAUAUUUUCAUAGAGGAAUUAGAAUGUAGCAUUUAUAGCGUUCUGAAUGGCCAAGUGAGAGUACAGAUGAUCAAAUGCUUAGAUUUUGGUGCUAGGGAUAGGCUAAUUAAAAUCUCUCUAUUUUUAAAUGUGGUUUGAUUGAUAGUCACCUCAGUAGUAUAUAAACCACGGUUUGCAGGAGGAGCCAUGGCCUGAAUUGAAAACAUUAUGAAUGAAUGCACUUAUUUCUGGAGCUGAUAAAGUGAAUGAUCUACAGGAAGAUUCUGUACCAAAUGUUGAACGGAUAAGGAUGGGUGGUACCGUUCUAGUCAAGUGCAAAACAUGUUAAUUUUGCAUCCUUUGCAUUGGCUUUUAUAUCACAUCAUGCUUGUUUACGGCAGAUGUGGCUGUUUGUCUGGUUUUCAUUGCAUUUUUGUUUGUUGAACUGAGUUUUGAGAACUAUCUCGCCAACAACAUGCAUGCUUGGUUGAAGAAUUGAUGCCACAAAAUUAUAUGCUCUUUCAAUGCUUGCAGGACAUCAUCAGAGGAAAUAAAGUCCCUUAGAUUGAUAACAGCCAUCAAAACCCCAUAUUUACCUGAUGGUAGAUUUGACCUUGAAGCAUAUGACGCUUUGGUGAAUAUGCAAAUUGUUGACGGUGCUGAAGGCGUGAUUGUUGGUGGCACAACUGGUGAAGGUCAGUUGAUGAGCUGGGAUGAACACAUAAUGCUUAUUGGUCACACUGUUAACUGUUUUGGUAGUUCAAUCAAAGUGAUUGGAAAUACCGGCAGCAACUCUACAAGGGAAGCAAUUCAUGCUACAGUGCAAGGCUUUGCAGUUGGAAUGCGUGCUGCUCUUCACAUCAACCCUUACUAUGGAAAAACCUCUGUGGAGGGCUUGGUUUCCCACUUUGAUAGUGUGCUACCUAUGGGCCCUACAAUUAUUUACAAUGUGCCCUCACGAACUGGCCAAGAUAUUCCCCCAGGUGUGAUACACAGUGUAGCACAAAGUCCAAAUUUGGCAGGUGUUAAAGAAUGCAUGGGUAAUGAUCGGGUGGAACAGUACACAGAGAAAGGAAUUGUGGUAUGGAGUGGGAAUGAUGAUGAAUGCCAUGAUGCUAGAUGGAGCCAUGGGGCUACCGGAGUGAUUUCUGUUGCUAGCAACUUAGUCCCAGGCUUAAUGCGCAAGCUCAUGAUCGAGGGGAAGGACCCUGCACUAAAUUCAAAACUUUUGCCUCUCAUACGAUGGCUUUUCCAAGAGCCAAACCCUAUUGGUUUGAACACAGCUCUGGCACAACUUGGAGUCGUGAGACCAGUUUUCAGGCUGCCAUAUGUACCUCUUCCUCUGCCAAAGAGGAUAGAAUUUGUGAAUUUGGUCAAGGCAAUUGGGCGUGAGAAUUUUGUAGGAGAACAAGAUGUCCAGGUUCUCGAGGACGACGACUUCAUGUUGGUAGGUCGGUAUUAGUCAGUUUUUGCUAUUCAGGACUUUUUGCUUGGAUUUUUAAUAUGACUAGUAUGUUUUGCAGUUUCAGUUACAAUAAGGCUUCUUGUUAGAUUGUUGAAUCUGAAGCUGAAAAUGUAGUCUUUUAACUUCUUGUUACUGGUGUUUAAUGUUCAAAAAGAUCUCUGUUUGGAUUAUCUGGUGUCAUUGGUUGCAAAUCAUCUUGGCUCUUGGAUGAGAAAUGUUGGUAUCAUCUUACUUGCUUCUAAAAGCUCAAAUGUGAUUUUGCUGAUUAUGUUAAAUAAUUGUAUGUAGUGUCUUAAUACUUACUGUUUUAUACUGCUUGAGUGGUGUAUUGAAAUGUAAAUGCUUGAACUUUGAACCAAAUUGUUUGUUCUUGAGAAAUUCUUGGUCAAGUGGAAUGUAAAUCAAAGUGUUCCUCUUUCUUUUUUGGUCUAGUAUAAACGAAUUUUAUAAAAUUUCAUAAUUUUAUGAAGUUCAUUCAUAAAUGAAUUAUAUUUCUAUUUAUAAAAUAAUGAAUUAUUUUCUUCAAAUUGGUGUAUUCUAGAGGAACCUGAAUAGUUUCCCAAUUAUCUUGGAUUUCAUUUUUUUUUUUUUUUUGGGUAAAUUGGAUUUAAUUUCUUUUGACAAUGCGCCAAAGUUACUUUGACAAGUGGUAAAUUACUAUACUUUCAUUAAUUAAAUCUUGAUAUAAACAAAAUUAAUAUAUCAACUUUUAAUCUUACAAUAAAAUUCUAUUUAAUCAAAUAUUUGAUUAAUUUUGGAAACAAUUUAAUAUAAAUUCAUGGAUACUAACACAAGGAUAUAUUAGAAAAAAAUAAGAAAAAUUAUAAUUUAAUCAUAUUAACUAAAUUUUCUUAAUUCAUAUGGAAGACAAACUAUGACAAAAAUUAUGUAAUGAUAUUUGUUGACUAAUACUUCAUUACAACUCACCAAAUCUAACUUAUGUGUUAACAAAUAUUUGAAAAAAAAUGUCAUUGUGAUGAUAAAUUGAUAAAUAAAUAGGGAGUGUCAAAGAAGGCAGGAAGGAGGGAAGUUUGACCAAUAGCAAAUCAAGACAUUAGCUGUAACACAGUUGGAAGAUUGGACACAUGAAAAUAGUUUGGACUUUGGAAACUCUUUUCAUUUUCAAGUCAUCAUAAUAUUAUUCCAUAGUCAAGCAUAGACUUUUGAAUUUUGGCAUUCACAUUCAUAUUACAAUGACAAUGAUGUGUGAAAGCUUUUUACAUGCUUCCGAAAAGAUGACAUUUCCAUAUUUAUUGUAUUUUUAUAUGUUCAGAAGAACACAAAUGUCAAAUUGAUGCUAUAUGUCAAAAUAAAUAACUAUUAAUAGACUUUUCUCAGUGAGCUAAUAGACAAUUUUCUGAAAAAUAAAAUAUAACUGAAUCUCUGAUUAUCUUUAAAUCCAUCUGUAUCUAAAAAAUAAUUAUGAUGUUUCUAACUUAUAUUUUAAUCUCACUAUUAGAUCAUUCCGUCUAAUAAGUGAGCUUUUUACCAUUAAUUAGACACUUUUUGGAUAGAAUAUGCUCAUUUUUUAGAUGGAAAAAUGUCACUUUUUGGACGAAAAGACUCGAUAAAAGAGAUAGAGUAUAAAUUAAGUAUGUCGUAACUAUUUCUCAAAUGUAGAAAGAUUUAAAUGUUAAUUUGAAUAUAAUAUAGGAACCCAGUUAUAUUUUACCCUUUUUCUGAAUUAUGUGUCUUUGCUGCAAAAGAGAUGGCCUUUGGUUUGGCAUUUUUUGCCCCUCAAGAACACCUCAGGCCAUGUCUUCAGAGGCUGCAUACCCAGAAUUAGAAAGCUUCAAAUAUGCUUUAGAAAGAUAACAGAUUAUAUUCAAAUCAACCAGAACAAAGAAAAUCACUAUAAAACAUUUCCUCACUCUAUCAACAGCUACAUUAAAACAAUUGGCAGCUACAACAAAAUUUGCUAUGAACUAAAAGAGGUCACUAAAAAAAUGAUGAUUACUUGUUCAAAGGUUUACAGAAACCAAAAAUGAACUGCAUAAAUGUUUUCAUCUAAACAUUUAACUUGUUUGAUCAAACAUAUCUUUUACCUUGUUUUUUGUCGACUGGAUUAGCAUCCUGCAUCUGUUUAAGGGCCUCAUCGCCUCAAAUGAAGUGGAGA
This 7862-nucleotide long non-coding RNA is filed under the name Jatropha curcas. Its description in RNAcentral is "long non-coding RNA (JCUR_LNC000528)". The record is from RNAcentral. Lineage: Eukaryota; Viridiplantae; Streptophyta; Magnoliopsida; Malpighiales; Euphorbiaceae.